Molecule: ribosomal RNA, 1474 nt
Filed under: Triticum aestivum (bread wheat)
Lineage: Eukaryota; Viridiplantae; Streptophyta; Magnoliopsida; Poales; Poaceae
Description: partial small subunit ribosomal RNA
Source: RNAcentral
GAACCCGAAGUUGAAGUAGUAACAAUCCGGUUUGGUUUUGAGACAGAAAGAGAGAGAGAGAGAGACGUAUAUCCUCAUGAUAUAACCUUGAACUAAGACCACUGCGUAGUAGUCGACACAAAAAAAAAACUUUUCUAGUAGUAGUCGACACACACAUUGACACAUGGUGUUCGAACCCUUAGUCCUAGUCUGGCUCAACUUCCCACUCGAGAUCGACGUCCCUCUCUGUAUAGAGAUGUUUAUACUCUCCCAAGCUCUCCUCUCCGCAGGCCGUCAUGUUGGCCAGGCUGCUCGGUGCAUACGCCACCUGCCUCCUCGACGUGGCCGUCAAGUAGCUCCGCCAGCUGACGGAACCGCCGGUCCUGCUCCGUUGUGGUUUCGCUUAAGAAGUCGACUACCCGUGUUUCCCCCAGUCGUAUAGAGUGUAGUUCUCGGUAGAAGUCUACGUAUCCAGUUCGAGAUCGUCGUCGUUGUUGUUGUUAUUGUUGUUGUUGUUGUUGUUAUUGGGUGGGGUGCACAGUCGCUUAGCAACGGUUCCAGUGACGUAGCUACCGUUGUUGUGUUCUUGUUGCAGAAGUCUGUCCUAGUUGCGAGGGAGAUUGCAGCACAAAGUGGCACCGGUGGUGAGCUGCAACGGUGGCACGGUUUACGGUAGCUAGCUUCUCCAAAAAUCCUCGACCCUCCUCUCAUUUUUCGCCGACGGUACCUUGAGGUGGUCGUACGAUUAAUGUGGUCUUUUCCGCUGACCGACCAGAGCAGUGUGGCUGCUGUUCUACGCGGUCUUCUUCGUCGUUGGUCGUCGCCCCACACUGGAUUGCAACAGCUAGCCGGCCACACCCCUUAGUCUCCGCUGUCGCUGCGACUGUAGAGCUCGUGCUGGUGACUCCUCCGGCGACGCGACCGUUCCCCAGCUCCACGGCCACCGGUGGCAGCGGGGGUCCGACGGCGGCUAGACUUGGAACUGAACUUGGAGCUGUAGCGGUAGAGUAGAAGAGCCGAGACUAAACACUAGGUACUGGGGUACACAUUUAUAAUCUCGACGUAAAAACAUGCAUAACAUAUAUAAAUCAGGGACACAGUGUAGAAUCAUCAGCGACUUUACCUACGUAAAAUGACAAUCCAUGUAGGCAAACUCGCUGUUGAUUAUACCCUGCUUGCUUCAUAACUACAUGCCGUACAGUAGUAUGAACAACAUUGCAACAACGAUACCAUCACAAAAAACGGUCUUUUUUUUUUGAUGGUAUCGUUGGUGGCCGUGGAUAGCCCGAUAGAAAAACCAACUUAACUACUUAACGGUGUGCAAACGAGAGAGCUUGGGGUUCCGGUUCUACGAAGAAGAAACCGACGUUGACCAAUAAAUAACGAAGAAACCGACGUUUACCAACAAUAAAGACUUCUUCCCCUAGAGACAGUUUGACCAAUAAAUCAAAAAUUACCAACCAGAAAACUUCAGGACCUGAACAGAAACAGUUAC